AGUGGGCAGCUGGGGCGAGAUGUCCCCAGCUGGGGAUGUUUGUGUCUGAGUCCCUGCCCUGCGUGCCUCAGGUGCGGCCAUUCUGCAGGAAACCUGGCGGGGCUGGGACAGGGCUGCACCUCUUGGCCUCGGUGCGGAUGCAGGCUGUCAGCGGGGAGACGCGCAAGUACAUGGAGGAAUCUCAGAGCUCCGUCUGAAGGAUUUGGCAGUGGUUUAGGUGCCUGCGGGGGAGAGGAGACAAUAAGAGCGUUUGUUGGGCGGCUCAUCCAGCGAAACGUGCGGCUCUGCAGCUGGGUGCCGUGGCUGCUGUGGGAGGCCCGGCUGAAGCUGAGGCAGGAGAACCCCAGCAGGGCCUGCUUGUCUGAGGGAACAAAGUUUGUCAUCCUGAGACACCAGACCUUUGACGAGACUCAGGUAACCUCUGACAGCACGUACAGUGCUGACAAAGAGUCCCUGUCAGCCUUUGUGGAAGACUUUGAGACUUCAGUCAGCAUUGACUUUCUAGAAGACGAAGAGCGUGUUGGCGAAGUGCUAGACUGUGGUUCUUCGGAUCUAUCGGAUCGUGGAGGAACAGAAGAAGCUCAGCAUGAAGAUGAAAAGAUGACAGAAGCAGCAGCAUCCCAGAAGUUGUGAUCACACAGGCAGAUGAGAGAUGCUUGCGUCUAUUGUCUCUAUUCAAAGGAGCAACGUUGUCUUUGUUGUGCUGCUCUUCCUUCAGAUAUUUUUUUCUUCUACAAGGGUGCAAAAGGAAGGGGCGGUUGACCCAAAUACAGUCCUAUCUCCUAAUUUUGCCAAGAUCAAAGGCAUUUCUAGCGUUUUAUGUGCUGCCUGUUGGUGAAGUCUAAAAGCGGUGUACUUAGGCAUUUCUCCACUUCCCAGACACACACGCAGCCAGCCCAGAACUAGGCUCUUACAUCGCUUCGUUUUGCCAGCCCGUUCUCCACGUGUUACACCCAUGUGUGUUGUGGAUGCCCUGUGCCAUGCUCAAAAACGUGUGCCUGGGGUGCCCAGCUCUGCCUUGUCAACUGGGUGUGUAGUUCUGCUGAGCGUGUGCACGUGCAAAUGGAUAACUGCAAUGGUGUGUGUUUGGUUUGGUGUUAAUACAAAGGAGAAAUGGAAAUUGGCCUGGCACUUUUAAGACAAAUAUUGGAAAAAAAUGUAGCUGCCUACUUUUUCCCCACUGAGAUUACGGCCCGUGUGCUCACGAGGCAGCAAGAGUUUCUGGUGGAUUUGGUUGGAUUUCUGGAUGCCAGCCAGCUGACUGAAAGAAGUGCUUCUCUCAAAUAAGGGAAACAAAAGCUCAGGUAGGAUUGGCAGCAGCCACCGGUCUAUCUGAAGCUUCCUCAGCUGUACAUGUGUG
This 1360-nucleotide long non-coding RNA is filed under the name Anas platyrhynchos platyrhynchos (common mallard). RNAcentral describes it as "lncRNA (ENSAPLG00000018859.1)". Lineage: Eukaryota; Metazoa; Chordata; Aves; Anseriformes; Anatidae. The record is from RNAcentral.